Cyprinus carpio (common carp) is the source of this 1467-nucleotide long non-coding RNA. The record is from Ensembl. Lineage: Eukaryota; Metazoa; Chordata; Actinopteri; Cypriniformes; Cyprinidae.
AUGAUUAUAACUUUUUUAAAUACAUUUGUUUUGUUUUUUAGGGUGGCCAGCAUGAUACAGCAGUUUGUUGCUGGGAUGGAUGCAUUUGGACAGCUGUGGCAAACAGUACAGAGGAACUGUAUUAACUUUAUGCCAAUGUUCACAUACACACAUGAAAAACUCUCCCGAAGUGAUAUUCGGGACAUGUUCAACAUCAGAUGGAGUCCACAAGGCUGCAAUAAUAGAGAGAGGGAGGAGGACACCAUCUUUCUCUGGGAGUGUUGGCUGAUGUCUAUUGAAAAUAAAGACCUAGACAUUACCUUUGAAGAAAUUCUGAUCUUCGCAACGGGAGCUGAUUCUGUACCCCCUCUCGGUUUUCCACGAGAGUGUGAGAUCCAGUUCUAUGAUCAAGAGCCAGGAAGCCAGCGGAUUCCUUACUCCUCAACCUGUGCCCUUGUUCUGUAUUUGCCCAGAGGUAUUACAGAAGAAACUGAUUUUAAAGAGCUCAUGCUGCUGGCCUUAAAAUGCUCAUUUGGUUUUGGGAAGGCUUAAAUGUUGUAUGUGACAUUGCUGAUAUGAAUUUGAAUGUAAUUUUUUAUUUUUUUUUUUGGUUCAAAUAAGUCUCUUCUGCUUUAUUUGAUUAGAAAAAACAGUAAAACAUUUUGUGUAAUGUUAUUACAAAUUCAACAACUGUUUAUAUGUAAACAUGUCAUUGAUUUCUUUGAUUAAAGCUGAAUUUUCAACAUCAUUACUCCAGUCUUCCGUGUGACAUGAUCUUCAGAAGUCAUUCUAAUACGCUUAUUUGCUGCUGAAGAAACAUUAUAGUACAAGAGUAGUAGUAAGAACUCUAAUUUUCUUCACUAUGUUGCAAAGCAUAGACAUUUUUGUCUCCUCUAUUUCAGGAAAAUAUGUGAAGAAUGGGCUAUGUGAAGAAAUCGAGAACCUUUUAUGUCUACCGGCCAGUGAUGAUUCUGAAAGAACAUACCUGGAAUCUGUUGCUACAGUAACGAACGCAAAUUCAUGCUCAUGCGUGAUUUUAUUUCAGUGCAGUUGUUAAGAUUGUGGUUAUUUCAGCAAACAGUUUUACAUAUUUUAACAGUGUUUAGAUAAACUUUUCUAUAUCAUUCAAUGGUACUAUUUAGAGAUCAAUGAUACACACACAUUUUAGACACUUAUUAGGCUAACUUGAUAUGACAGGUUGGAAAACAUCACGUUGACUCUAAAACCUGAUGCGAAAAUGUCAGUCAUUGCAGUCAAAUAUUGAGAUGAACUUUAUAAAGUAUCAUCUAUUUAUAUUAAAUUAAUAUGUUAAAUUGGUAUCUUCUCCUAUACCCAUUUUGUGAUCAUUUUGUUUUCAAUCAGCUGAAAUGAUUCGGGACAUCCACAUUUAACUUGAAAAAGGCAUAACGUGGCUUAAUGCUUUAAAACUGCAUUUUAAAAAGACCAAAACAUUAGGCAUAUAUAAAUAAAGCAUUCUAUUCACAGACA